This 820-nucleotide ribosomal RNA is filed under the name uncultured bacterium. RNAcentral describes it as "bacterial SSU rRNA". It matches the Rfam family "Bacterial small subunit ribosomal RNA", at positions 636 to 1455 of the family's 1533-position model. The record is from RNAcentral.
UNUGACUUGAGUGCAGAAGGGGAGAGUGGAAUUCCAUGUGUAGCGGUGAAAUGCGUAGAUAUAUGGAGGAACACCAGUGGCGAAAGCGGCUCUCUGGUCUGUCACUGACGCUGAGGCUCGAAAGCGUGGGUAGCGAACAGGAUUAGAUACCCUGGUAGUCCACGCCGUAAACGAUGAGUGCUAGGUGUUAGGCCCUUUCCGGGGCUUAGUGCCGGAGCUAACGCAAUAAGCACUCCGCCUGGGGAGUACGACCGCAAGGUUGAAACUCAAAGGAAUUGACGGGGGCCCGCACAAGCGGUGGAGCAUGUGGUUUAAUUCGAAGCAACGCGAAGAACCUUACCAGGUCUUGACAUCCCGAUGCUAUUCUUAGAGAUAGGAAGUUACUUCGGUACAUCGGAGACAGGUGGUGCAUGGUUGUCGUCAGCUCGUGUCGUGAGAUGUUGGGUUAAGUCCCGCAACGAGCGCAACCCUUAUUGUUAGUUGCCAUCAUUAAGUUGGGCACUCUAGCGAGACUGCCGGUAAUAAACCGGAGGAAGGUGGGGAUGACGUCAAAUCAUCAUGCCCCUUAUGACCUGGGCUACACACGUGCUACAAUGGACGGUACAACGAGUUGCGAGCCGGUGACGGCAAGCUAAUCUCUGAAAGCCGAUCUCAGUUCGGAUUGGAGGCUGCAACUCGCCUCCAUGAAGUCGGAAUCGCUAGUAAUCGCGGAUCAGCACGCCGCGGUGAAUACGUUCCCGGGCCUUGUACACACCGCCCGUCACACCACGAGAGUUUGUAACACCCGAAGUCGGUGAGGUAACCUUUUAGGGGCCAGCCG